AAUAGAUACCCUGGUAGUCCACGCCGUAAACGAUGAGUGCUAAGUGUUAGAGGGUUUCCGCCCUUUAGUGCUGCAGCUAACGCAUUAAGCACUCCGCCUGGGGGAGUACGGUCGCAAGACUGAAACUCAAAGGAAUUGACGGGGGCCCGCACAAGCGGUGGAGCAUGUGGUUUAAUUCGAAGCAACGCGAAGAACCUUACCAGGUCUUGACAUCCCACUGACCGGUAUAGAGAUAUACCUUUCCCUUCGGGGACAGUGGUGACAGGUGGUGCAUGGUUGUCGUCAGCUCGUGUCGUGAGAUGUUGGGUUAAGUCCCGCAACGAGCGCAACCCUUGAUCUUAGUUGCCAGCAUUUAGUUGGGCACUCUAAGGUGACUGCCGGUGACAAACCGGAGGAAGGUGGGGAUGACGUCAAAUCAUCAUGCCCCUUAUGACCUGGGCUACACACGUGCUACAAUGGAUGGUACAAAGGGCUGCAAGACUGCGAAGUCAAGCCAAUCCCAUAAAACCAUUCUCAGUUCGGAUUGCAGG
Molecule: ribosomal RNA, 530 nt
Filed under: uncultured bacterium
Lineage: Bacteria
Description: bacterial SSU rRNA
Rfam family: Bacterial small subunit ribosomal RNA
Source: RNAcentral